This is a long non-coding RNA of Ictalurus punctatus (channel catfish), 546 nucleotides long. NCBI's taxonomy places the organism in Eukaryota, Metazoa, Chordata, Actinopteri, Siluriformes, Ictaluridae. The record is from Ensembl.
CACACACACACACACGCACACAAAGGUUUUUUUAAAUACAGUUUUUACUGUAUUAUUGAUUUUUAUCACCUGGGAAACAUGGAAACCAAAUGUAUUCAAACAAAGGACACAAAAGUGUAAGUUUAGUGUGUAGUGUGUAGUAUGUAGUGUAGUGUGUAGUGUGUAGUGCAGUGUGUAGUAUGUAGUGUAGUGUGUAGUGUGUAGUGCAGUGUGUAGUGUGUAGUAUGUAGUGUAGAGUGUAGUGUGUAGUGUGUAGUGUAGUGUGUAGUGUGUAGAGUGUAGUGUGUAGUGUGUAGUGCAGUGUGUAGAGUGUAGUAUGUAGUGUAGAGUGUAGAGUGUAGUGUGUAGUGUGUAGUGUAGUGUGUAGUAUGUAGUGUAGUGUGUAGUGUGUAGUGCAGUGUGUAGUGUGUAGUAUGUAGUGCAGUGUGUAGUGUGUAAUAUGUAGUUAUGUAGUGCAGUGUGUAGUAUGUAGUGUAGUGUGUAGUGUGUAGUAUGUAGUGUGUAGAGUGUAGUGUGUAGUGUGUAGUGUGUAGUGUGUAGUGUGUA